This 487-nucleotide ribosomal RNA is filed under the name uncultured bacterium. Its description in RNAcentral is "partial 16S ribosomal RNA". It matches the Rfam family "Bacterial small subunit ribosomal RNA", at positions 355 to 861 of the family's 1533-position model. The record is from RNAcentral.
UGGGGAAUAUUGGACAAUGGGCGCAAGCCUGAUCCAGCCAUGCCGCGUGAGUGAUGAAGGCCCUAGGGUUGUAAAGCUCUUUCACCGGUGAAGAUAAUGACGGUAACCGGAGAAGAAGCCCCGGCUAACUUCGUGCCAGCAGCCGCGGUAAUACGAAGGGGGCUAGCGUUGUUCGGAUUUACUGGGCGUAAAGCGCACGUAGGCGGACUUUUAAGUCAGGGGUGAAAUCCCGGGGCUCAACCCCGGAACUGCCUUUGAUACUGGAAGUCUUGAGUAUGGUAGAGGUGAGUGGAAUUCCGAGUGUAGAGGUGAAAUUCGUAGAUAUUCGGAGGAACACCAGUGGCGAAGGCGGCUCACUGGACCAUUACUGACGCUGAGGUGCGAAAGCGUGGGGAGCAAACAGGUUAGAUACCCUGGUAGUCCACGCCGUAAACGAUGAAUGUUAGCCGUGGGGGAGUUUACUCUUCGGUGGCGCAGCUAACGCAUU